This 323-nucleotide ribosomal RNA is filed under the name uncultured bacterium. RNAcentral describes it as "bacterial SSU rRNA". It matches the Rfam family "Bacterial small subunit ribosomal RNA", at positions 28 to 334 of the family's 1533-position model. The record is from RNAcentral.
GAUGAACGCUGGCGGCGUGUUUAACACAUGCAAGUCGAGCGAGAAGCUCAUGACCAAUACUUCGGUUGCGUGAUUGAGUGGAAAGCGGCGGACGGGUGAGUAACGCGUAGGCAACCUGCCCUGUGCUGAGGGAUAGCCUCGGGAAACCGGGAUUAAAACCUCAUAACGCGGCACCGAGACAUCUCGGAGCCGCCAAAGAUUUAUCGGCACGGGAUGGGCCUGCGUCUGAUUAGUUAGUUGGUGGGGUAACGGCCUACCAAGGCGACGAUCAGUAGCCGACCUGAGAGGGUGAUCGGCCACAUUGAAACUGAGACACGGUCCAA